Non-coding RNA from Dermacentor andersoni, 2709 nucleotides. NCBI's taxonomy places the organism in Eukaryota, Metazoa, Arthropoda, Arachnida, Ixodida, Ixodidae. The record is from RefSeq and is a predicted model, not a curated record.
UAUUCAUUAGCAGGAGUAUUCUAACAUUCAUGAAAAACAAGGAGGAACUGUGGUUUAUUUGUUUUUUUGCUUAAAUCUAAAAAUUGAAGUUAGUUUAGCAGUUGACUGUUGCAGUCAUUUGGAUGUUUUGCAUGCAUUUCACUAGGAAGACUAAGAGCUAAGACUUUUUUAUUGCCAUGGCCUUGACUGCCUUGAUGUUGUUUUGCACCAUGCCCUUGUGUUGACUUUUGCAUACGAUAUUUUUCAGGCACCCGCUUUAUAUAACGCAAGAAGGCAGCUGCAAGGACACGAGGAUGUGAAAGAGCCAGUGCAGCGCGACUUCACGUAGUGUAGAGGAGCCAAUGCCAAAAAAUCAAAAUACAUUGGCAUGUUAUUUGGACAAGAAAACUAGUAUGGACAACCCAGGACGUGCAUUUCUCAGCACCCAGUCAACUGCCAAAAGUGACUCAAACACAGGCCACCAGUGGAACUCGGCUGUACCACUGCAGUGCUGCGGAAAUUGCCUUCACCAUCGGCUUUGCAACAGCUGUUUCGCAGCAUGUCGGAGACAAUGCCUACGAAAUUAUUGGCCCUGAUCAUGAGAGCCCUCAAGGGGCAAACAACAUCUCUGUUGCAGAAGUGAGCCCGAUACCACUUGGAAGUUACCAUGACAGAUGACACGGCAGCAAUAGAUACAGAGACUGCCAUGUCUGCUGCAGCUGCAACAGUGUACGAGGCAAGCAGCAGCGCGUCAGCAUCAGCAGCAGUGUCAGAAGGGACCGCACCAGGCCUGGUAGAGCAACAUGUGUGCUAUCACUGACUUUUUUUGUAGUGGAUACAACUCAUUUGCUCAACAUACAAAAGCUUUUCACCACGACUGUGAGCCAGUGUUAUUGUGCAGCAAGUGCAAGACUAAGUUAGGUGUUAUAGCACAGUACAAGCAUCACUUUAAUAUAUGCAAAUGCAAACAUAUUACAGUUGAUGCCUCCCCAGCCAGCCCACAUAGUGACAACAAUGUGGAACACAUGGUGGGACACACCUCUCCCCCAUUACAAGAUAGUAGAGACUGUCAGUGUUGUUGCUAGAUUGACUGGUCUUUGUAGGCAACUAGAAGGACAACACAGGUGUCAUAAGAUUGUUGUUGAUGUUGUUGUUGAAGAGGUAAAAAAGAAGUUUGAUGCAGCUGAAGUGCCAACUGAUAUUGAGCAAAUCAAAAGCAACCACCUGAGAAAGCAACACUAUCGAAAUUUGGGUAUCUAUGUGCCGCCAACUCUGGUAAGAAUGGCAUAGGACAGAAGUGUGAUGAAAAUCACACAGACACUGCUGUUGCAUCACUGGCAACAGUGAGCAGCGACUUGUAGGGCAAGAGAGUGAACUGAAACUAACAUUAUGAUAUAGUGUCAUGCUCCCAUGUGACCACUUUUCAUGUUAUUUUGCAAGAUACAGCUCAACCUCCAGAAACGAGACUGCAACUUGUCUGUAAAAAAGCUUUCACAAAAAAUUAUUCAUAACACUAUUAACAUAGCAGUAUCUUUCUUUUUGUGUCGGUUCGAGGUUCCCGGCUGUCCAUUAAUGCAAAAAUUGAGGAAAAAAAGAACAUGUGUCGUACUUACACCUUUUUAACAAGUACGAGGGGGGCAGAACUUUUCUAGUCAUGCAUCUUCAUCAUACUAUUAAGUUUUUAAAUGCCUUUUAUAAUUAUUAUUACCAGUUAUAUCUGAGUGCAUUGUAUGCAUGUAGCAGGUGUAAAAUCAGGUCAGUUGGAUCAGAUGCCUUAUCUGCAAGCGAGCCCUAUAUUCAAGAAAUUUGAAUUAAAAUAGUUACGUUAGAGACGCAGUCUUUCAGCACUUUAUUGCCUGUGGUUUAAGCAUUGCUCAAUACUUUUGUGGGUGGAAAUUUCAACCGGCACAGCACUGCGCUUUGCCACAGUCACAUUUGUCUUCAAAGCGGUGUUUACCAUUUGUGUUGAUCUGUUUGUGUAUGCAUAGAGCAAGUUUUUAAUUUAUAUUUUUCUGCAUUCUUGUGCUUGCACUAAGCUUGUAUAAGGCAGUUGCAAAAUGUGCGUCACUAUAACGAACUGUUCUGUUGAGCUUACACUUGCAAAUAAUCGUGUUCAGAUGGCCGCACUUCUAUGCGGGUGCACCGCUAGCUUUGUGUAUGUUCUCAUGUUUGUAUAAAGCUUAUAUAAGCUAGUUAGAAAAUGUAUGUCACUAAGCAUUGUAAUAUUCUUUAAAGAACUGCUUGGUUGGUUUUACACUUGUGAAUUAGUAUUGAGGCGGUGGUAUUCCCAUGUAUGCCCACUGCUAACUUUCUGUGUCCUCACGUGUUUGUAUUAAGUUUCUACAAGGGAGUUACAGCAUGUACGUCACUAAGCGCUGUGAUAUUUUUUAAAGAACUGCUUUGUUGGUUUUACACCUGUGAGUAAUAGUACUCGGGUGGCACUAGUCAUGUGUAGGUACACAGGGACCAUUUGUAUACAUUAGGCUCAUGUAAAGCAGUUACAAAGUGUAUGUCACUAAUUACUGUGAUAUUUGUUGAAUUGCUGUGAUGGUUUUACACAUGUGAAUAAUAGUGGUCAGGACACAGUACUUGCGGUGUAUAGUUGAAUUUAUACACUGCCAAGACAUGGGCUGUAUACGUACCAAGAGAAAUGUAUGUCAUUAUAUUGUUGUGAUUAUUACUGUUUGGAUUUUAUUAAACUGUAAUAAAAUUGUUUCUUGUAUCUAUUGA